AAGUAAGUGACUGAAAUGACAGGGGGAGGAAGAGAGAGAAAGGGCUAGCAGCAAGGAAUUUCCCAAACAGUCUUCCUGCCUCAAGCAAAGCAGGAACUGGAAGGGAGGCAUGGAAGAGGAGCCUGGAACAAUAUGCUGAGUAAACAGAGCAGGCUUCCUCUCUCUCGGCAGGAGAAGCCCCUUACCUUUGGCAAACCUCAUCAAUGUAAUGGAGCAAGGCAUUUCGUGCAAAUUAAAUGUGGGGAAAUUUAAGAAGCAGGACAGACAAAAUGGAAAAGAAUUCCCUGUCUGCAGAAGACCCUGAUGGACCGAGUUGGACGGACAGACGGAUGGAUGGAAGACGAGGAAGUACGAGAGGAACAGGAAGGAAAAAGUAAAAUAGAUAUAGCUUCAAAUGGAUGAGAGGAGUGCUAAGAAUUACAGCUAUCAUCCAGACCCACUGCUUGUUUCUAGCUCCAGAAAAAGAAAUUACUGGCAUACCUUAGCUGACAAAAGAUGAUGAAGGAGGACUAGAGAAACACAGACUUCUAGUAUCAACUUGCAAAGUAUGGAAAUCUACGCCCAUUUCAGUGUUGUUUGUUGCUAAAUUUUCUGUUAAAGAAUGGCGAGGAAGAUACCUACUUCAUUAAUGAAUGGCGAGGAAGAUACCUACUUCAUUAACUAUCAGGACAAUAGGAGAGUCAAUAGAUACAAAAGCUAUUAGCUGAACUGGAAUUUCUUCUCUUCUAGACAUCUGUGAAUCAGUUUCACAAGACAAACGCCCUCAAGAGGGCACAACAAAUCCUUUGAUGCUCUUAGAUUUUUAUGUAGCUCCUUAAAGGGUACACCCAAAGAUAGAAAGGAGGAAGACUUCCCACUGGUUUGUUUGACAGAUGAACAACUCAUGUUUCACAGCAUCAAAAUGGGAAUGUGCAGAAGUGUGCACUAGGAAAAAUCAGACUGCAUCACUGUCAAACUUCCAAUCUAUAACCAGGCUCCUAAUCCUCAAAGAAGGACUCUCACCUAUCCAAAAUCUGUAAAAUGGAGACAUGGAACAGUAUCAAUUAAAAGAAUACCAGUAUGGCCAAUAGGAUGCAAAUGAGUUAGGCCAUACUCUAAUGUACCAAGGGAAUUAUUCCAGUGACAAUAAAGCCUCUAGAUACCAUAAGCCACGCUUCCUAAAGCCUAGAGAGCAGCAAAGCAAGAAAGCAGAAAGGUCUAAGGAACUGAAUCUAAAAAAAUUCAUUUAUAACAAGCAGAUUUGAGAGAGAAACUUGAGGAGGAAUAAUAACGGAGAUGUAGAAAUAAACUAAGACUGAUUUUUACAUACUCAUCUGAAACAUCAGCUAAACCUCUAGCAUUUGGAGUUGUAUAGGAAAUGAGAAUUUGUCAUUAAUAUUGUAGCAUCUCUGGAGCAUCAGUCAAACCUGUAGCAACUGCUUUAAAAUUAACAUUCGCUUCUAAGAUACAUGAAUAUCACAUUUGGAAGCAUGUUAUCUGUGCCAAUACAAUGGACAAUGUUUACAAAAACAACUUAAUUUGCAUAAUAAUAAUUGUACUCGUCUAGAAGUAUUCAAGAAGAUACAGAGAUGGCAAGUGAAAGUGGUUAAAUAUAGGAUGGUUGAAACAAUACUUGAAAUGCCGUAGGCAAGGAACUGGUUCCGAUCAUGACACUUGUCAAUCUUUUCAGAAACGAGCUUGUUUAAUCUGGAAAUUUAUACAAAGAACUUAAUAUUUACUAAUAAGCAAUUAACUGUAAAACACUCUGAGAUUAGUUAAUGAGGGCAGCUCAGUCAUGUGAGAGACUGAAUUACAACUCUCCAUGUGAACAAAGUCCCUUUAACUAAUGGAACUCGCUAAAAUAUCCUAUGUCAAAUCUAUGUCCCCUAGCAGCUGUUUAGUCCAGGGAAGCACAGCUGUCUAAACUUUAUUGGCACUAAAUGUCAUCCUUGCACACAAAUUGGAUGCCUGGAAAACCCAAAGGCGCAUCUUGGUCCGUUAGUGCGAUCAUAUACAAUCACGUUCCCCAAUAAGAUGUGAAAACUGAAAUGGGAAACGUCAACAAACCCUGGCUGCAGCGUGGACUAGGGCAAGCUACAGUGACAAAAAUUUACUUUGAGUUGUAAUUAGUGACACUGUCAUUUUCGUUUGCUCCUGCCAAUUAAUUUAGCCUGUCAAAUGGAAAAACAGCAACAUGCACAUGAUAAUUUAUAUAUGGGGAGAAGGCUCUCACAAAGCUGUAGCUGCAGCCAGCAAAAUUCCCUUGGAGCACUUAAAAAAUAAAAUGAAGGGAAUGGGGGUGUGCAUGGGGGUGGGCGGAAAGAAAGUUAAACUGUCCUUGUUAUAAUUGUUAAUGCUGAUCGCUCAAGUAGAAGACGGGCUGAUUAAAACUCCAAACGAGCCUCUAGCUCGCCUAUAUCUCAGAGUCCGGAAUGAUAGAAUCAGAGGAGUUUAUUCAUACCAUUAAACCCCAGAGAACUUAAUUGAAAGAAGAGCACAGCCCGGACCUUGACAAGCGGGAGGUCACAGUAAUUGCUGCCGGACAUAUUUAACAUUAAGAUAAUCAGGCCAUUAAUUACCCUUUGGAUCAUUAAAUCAGCCAGUUGCAAAAUGAAAUUUCUGCCUCUAUUACUCACUUGAGAGACCACAGGGGUGGCUUUUAAUUUAUCAGUGAGCUUGAGAUACAAAGGACCAGGCAUGGGGAAGGAGAAAAGGGGGAGAAGCUGGGGGGGGGGGGAUUGCUUCAGCAGAGGCAGGAAUAUCAAUCCGCCAUGCUUGGUGAUUGUGGCAAAUUAACUAGGUAAGAUAACCUCGGCUUCUAAAGGCAGAAGCUGGGGGUAUGUAAAUAGAUGAGGGCAGACAGGGAGAUCAGAAGCUGCACACCACUUAGCAGGAUAAUAAAGGAAAUCAUCCUUGAUUAUCAGUGCUAAUUUGGACACUGCCGGUAGCUUGUUAUGCGUGUUCUGAGUAGCAUUUAAUUAAUUCAAUUGCUUGUUAAUGAGGGAAGUGACAUGUGGGGAGCAGAUGCCACCCAACUGCAGAUGGGUUCUGGUCAACCCAUCACAAUAAAAUCUUUUUAAAAAAUCUCCCUCACCCCUAAAAUGGGAAAGGUGUCAAGCACAGAAGAGCAUUCAAAAGGGACAGAACACUGACCUCAUCAGGCAAAGAGAUGGUAAGAAAUAAUAAAGCCUGACAACAGUGGCUAUACAGGUACUAAUGUUCCCAGAGGCUAUAUUUGUAAUAGUACUUACAUCCUUAUGCCAGGAAUUGAAGACUAACAUGACUACAGCUGUAAUUUUACGAUCUGAUUUAACAAGGCAAAGAAAGGUCACAAUGCAACUGUUUACCUCUGCGCUACAGGCACUAGAGAUUCUGCAGUUUUGCCAGCGUGACCGUUCUUGCUAUUAUAUACCAAUUAGAAAUAGGUAAGCGUGAAUUCCAUCCUAGACAGGCUCAGGAUUGCUAUAGUUCAGUAUCUGCCUAAAGCUGCAGGUGGACAGCAGGCAAACGGCAAGGAAAAAGGAGGGCCAGGUCCACAGCCCAGGGCAACUGAAGAGCCUCUACUCCUUCUCCAUAAAAUGGCAGUAGCACCAGCAGUAGUGUUAAAGAGUAAAGUCUUCUUACUAUUCAUCUAGUAUGCAUUUGCCUGCACUGACUAUUAAAAUGGCGUCUGGGCUGGAGGGGACAACAGGCACCUAGCAUGGCUGCCUUUCAAUGGUUGCUGCUGUCUUCCUGCUAACCUCAGCCUGGUGACUCUUUGUGUGUGAGAAAGCCCUUGGUUUCCAGAAACUCAGAAGGGAAACAGAAGGAAGUACAUUUAGUGCCAGCCCCUGUGGUCAAGAUUUGUCCUAACCUGCUGAGGAGUCUAAGUGCUGGUUGUCCCUAUCAGAGGCCAGACAAAAGUCAGAGCUCUGAUAUCUGCUGUUGCUACAGCCUCACCACUGCCUACGCCAGCACCAGCAUUCAUUUGCUUGCUUGGGAUUAGGAAGCAAGAAGAAGCUUUAAUCCCUACUGCUCCCUUGAGGACUCUAGUCUGCAGCAUCUUCCUUUCAGCAGUUGGCCUGUAUUUCCAACACUGCACAAAAACUUUGCUAUCCAGAGUAAUUACCACACUAUGACUUAAAUCCUACUUUAUUCCUAACUGGAUAAAAGCCACUAAUUUAUUUGGAUUUAUCUAUGUGUUGAGUUACAAUUCAACAAAAUUGGUUGGGACUAAUCAACAGGAUUUGAGCCUAUGAAGGCAGAAUAUUUUUUUCUUUUAAAAAUGGAGUUGGAAGGUUAAAAAACAGGAGUCUGUAUACAUAGUUGCCUUUGGAAGUGAUCUACUCGUAGCUCCUUGUCCUCUAUGUUGUCCAUAUAAUUCUCUUCAAAGAUGGCUUUCUUCUACCUUCCAAUCAGCCCAACCUUGUUGCUCCAAGGUAUUCACUCCCAUCCCUUUUUAUUUCUACUUAAACUGUAGUUGAUAGUUUUCUUUCUCUUUUUCCUCUAAACUAAAAGAAAAUCUAACGGCAGAUAAUGAGGAAAUAAUUUGGAAAUAAUUAUCGGCUGUUUCAUUAUUUCAUGAUUUUAAUUAAUGUGAAAUUUUAAUCGUUUUGUUGUUUAACGUGCUUGGAUUUGUUUUCAAGGAUUUCUACUACUUGCUUUGAACAGAUGGACAAAAACAUAGGAAAUGUAUAAUAACCCGAACAAAGAGGGUGGUUGCUUAGUCAAAGUGAACCAACAUGGGUUUAAGUUCUCAUUCAUAUGGCAGAUCUUACCAGGAAAGCACUACAUUGCACAGAGAAUGAAUUGGAAUAUAGGAAUGAUAAAAGGGGAGGGUGAAAAGCUACAUGUUUUUGCUGAAAGCAAAUUAUACUAAAGAGAGCCUUGUUGAUUCCAUUUGUGCUCACUGCUGAAGAUCUUUUUAUUUAGAAGUCUAUGUGGAUGGGAUAAUACAUUAUUGCAUGCACUCAUACUGCUUCCUUCAGAAACAUUCUAACAUUUUGAUUAUGAAAAGACACGAGCUCCUAAAUACUCCAAACUGUACAUGUAAAGGAAGAAUAAUAAAAUUCUGCAAAUCUG
This is a long non-coding RNA of Anolis carolinensis (green anole), 5040 nucleotides long. RefSeq lists it as uncharacterized. NCBI's taxonomy places the organism in Eukaryota, Metazoa, Chordata, Lepidosauria, Squamata, Anolidae. The transcript is spliced from 5 exons. The record is from RefSeq and is a predicted model, not a curated record.